Molecule: transfer RNA, 82 nt
Filed under: Gimesia maris
Lineage: Bacteria; Pseudomonadati; Planctomycetota; Planctomycetia; Planctomycetales; Planctomycetaceae
Description: tRNA-Tyr
Source: RNAcentral
GCGUUGGCUGGGCAUUGGCGAGCCCCGGUGGCUGUAACCCACCCGCUGUUAAGCUGUGGCGGUUCGACUCCGUCCCGACGCA